RNAcentral lists this ribosomal RNA (936 nucleotides) under Mycobacterium sp. Site4-B3. RNAcentral describes it as "bacterial SSU rRNA". It matches the Rfam family "Bacterial small subunit ribosomal RNA", at positions 72 to 1021 of the family's 1533-position model. The record is from RNAcentral. Lineage: Bacteria; Bacillati; Actinomycetota; Actinomycetes; Mycobacteriales; Mycobacteriaceae.
AAGGCCCUUCGGGGUACUCGAGUGGCGAACGGGUGAGUAACACGUGGGUGAUCUGCCCUGCACUUUGGGAUAAGCCUGGGAAACUGGGUCUAAUACCGAAUAUGACCAUGCUCUUCAUGGAGUGUGGUGGAAAGCUUUUGCGGUGUGGGAUGGGCCCGCGGCCUAUCAGCUUGUUGGUGGGGUAAUGGCCUACCAAGGCGACGACGGGUAGCCGGCCUGAGAGGGUGACCGGCCACACUGGGACUGAGAUACGGCCCAGACUCCUACGGGAGGCAGCAGUGGGGAAUAUUGCACAAUGGGCGCAAGCCUGAUGCAGCGACGCCGCGUGAGGGAUGACGGCCUUCGGGUUGUAAACCUCUUUCAAUAGGGACGAAGCGCAAGUGACGGUACCUAUAGAAGAAGGACCGGCCAACUACGUGCCAGCAGCCGCGGUAAUACGUAGGGUCCGAGCGUUGUCCGGAAUUACUGGGCGUAAAGAGCUCGUAGGUGGUUUGUCACGUUGUUCGUGAAAACUCACAGCUUAACUGUGGGCGUGCGGGCGAUACGGGCAGACUAGAGUACUGCAGGGGAGACUGGAAUUCCUGGUGUAGCGGUGGAAUGCGCAGAUAUCAGGAGGAACACCGGUGGCGAAGGCGGGUCUCUGGGCAGUAACUGACGCUGAGGAGCGAAAGCGUGGGGAGCGAACAGGAUUAGAUACCCUGGUAGUCCACGCCGUAAACGGUGGGUACUAGGUGUGGGUUUCCUUCCUUGGGAUCCGUGCCGUAGCUAACGCAUUAAGUACCCCGCCUGGGGAGUACGGCCGCAAGGCUAAAACUCAAAGAAAUUGACGGGGGCCCGCACAAGCGGCGGAGCAUGUGGAUUAAUUCGAUGCAACGCGAAGAACCUUACCUGGGUUUGACAUGCACAGGACGCCAGUAGAGAUAUUGGGUUCCCUUU